RNAcentral lists this ribosomal RNA (253 nucleotides) under uncultured bacterium. RNAcentral describes it as "partial 16S ribosomal RNA". It matches the Rfam family "Bacterial small subunit ribosomal RNA", at positions 524 to 776 of the family's 1533-position model. The record is from RNAcentral.
GACGGAGGGUGCAAGCGUUGUUCGGAAUUACUGGGCGUAAAGCGCGUGUAGGCGGCUCGCUAAGUCUGAUGUGAAAUCCCGGGGCUCACCCCCGGAAGUGCAUUGGAAACUGGCGAGCUCGAGUCCCGGAGAGGAGGGUGGAAUUCCUGGUGUAGCGGUGAAAUGCGUAGAUAUCAGGAGGAACACCGGUGGCGAAGGCGGCCCUCUGGACGGUGACUGACGCUGAGACGCGAAAGCGUGGGUAGCGAACAGG